Molecule: ribosomal RNA, 399 nt
Filed under: uncultured bacterium
Lineage: Bacteria
Description: bacterial SSU rRNA
Rfam family: Bacterial small subunit ribosomal RNA
Source: RNAcentral
GGGGAAUAUUGGACAAUGGGCGAAAGCCUGAUCCAGCCAUGCCGCGUGAGUGAUGAAGGCCUUAGGGUUGUAAAGCUCUUUUACCCGGGAAGAUAGUGACGGUACCGGGAGAAUAAGCCCCGGCUAACUUCGUGCCAGCAGCCGCGGUAAUACGAAGGGGGCUAGCGUUGUUCGGAUUUACUGGGCGUAAAGCGCACGUAGGCGGAUUCUUAAGUCAGGGGUGAAAUCCCGAGGCUCAACCUCGGAACUGCCUUUGAUACUGGGGAUCUUGAGUCCGGAAGAGGUGAGUGGAACUGCGAGUGUAGAGGUGAAAUUCGUAGAUAUUCGCAAGAACACCAGUGGCGAAGGCGGCUCACUGGUCCGGAACUGACGCUGAGGUGCGAAAGCGUGGGGAGCAAA